RNAcentral lists this non-coding RNA (26 nucleotides) under Homo sapiens (human). Lineage: Eukaryota; Metazoa; Chordata; Mammalia; Primates; Hominidae. The record is from RNAcentral.
UGCCAAUGUGUCCUACCUGUUCCAGG